RNAcentral lists this ribosomal RNA (378 nucleotides) under uncultured bacterium. RNAcentral describes it as "bacterial SSU rRNA". It matches the Rfam family "Bacterial small subunit ribosomal RNA", at positions 335 to 708 of the family's 1533-position model. The record is from RNAcentral.
ACUCCUACGGGAGGCAGCAGUAGGGAAUCUUCCACAAUGGGCGCAAGCCUGAUGGAGCAACACCGCGUGAGUGAAGAAGGGUUUCGGCUCGUAAAGCUCUGUUGUUAAAGAAGAACACGUAUGAGAGUAACUGUUCAUACGUUGACGGUAUUUAACCAGAAAGUCACGGCUAACUACGUGCCAGCAGCCGCGGUAAUACGUAGGUGGCAAGCGUUAUCCGGAUUUAUUGGGCGUAAAGAGAGUGCAGGCGGUUUUCUAAGUCUGAUGUGAAAGCCUUCGGCUUAACCGGAGAAGUGCAUCGGAAACUGGAUAACUUGAGUGCAGAAGAGGGUAGUGGAACUCCAUGUGUAGCGGUAGUAGUAGUCGUACGUAGUAUAA